UGGUGAAAGCCUUUUUGAGUUAUUGUCCGAAGUGUUGAAAAUCCCCCCUUUUUUAUGAAUAAAGCCCCAUAAAUCCAAAACUUAAAAUCUGAAAUUAAAAAAAAAAAAAAAAAACGAAAGGGAGCUUACGUCAAUAGAUAUAAACAAUUCACUUAAGUUUCAUGGACAUUGGUGAAAGCCUUUUUGAGUUUUUGUCCGAAGUGUUGAAAAUCCCCCUUUUUUUAUGAAUAAAGCCCCAUAAAUCCAAAACUUAAAAUCUGGAAUUAAAAAAAAACGAAAUGGAGCUUACGUCAAUAGAUAUAAACAAUUCACUUAAGUUUCAUGGAAAUUGGUGAAAGUGUUUUUGAGUUAUUGUCCGAAGUGUGGACGACGGAUGGACGGACGGGCGGACGGACGGAC
RNAcentral lists this long non-coding RNA (399 nucleotides) under Mytilus galloprovincialis (Mediterranean mussel). Lineage: Eukaryota; Metazoa; Mollusca; Bivalvia; Mytilida; Mytilidae. The record is from RNAcentral.